UCCCCGGUAGCUCAACUGGCAGAGCAUCCGGCUGUUAACCGGAGGGUUGUAGGUUCGAGUCCUACCCGGGGAG
This 73-nucleotide transfer RNA is filed under the name Actinomycetota bacterium. RNAcentral describes it as "tRNA-Asn". It matches the Rfam family "tRNA". From Rfam's summary of the family: Transfer RNA (tRNA) molecules are approximately 80 nucleotides in length. Lineage: Bacteria; Bacillati; Actinomycetota. The record is from RNAcentral.